GGGAAUUGUGACUACCAAGGAAUUUGUGUCUAAGCUGGAACUCAAGACUGGUCAGAAAGUCCUCGAUGUUGGAUGUGGCAUUGGGGGCGGAGACUUUUAUAUGGCUGAAGAGUUUGAUGUUGACGUGGUUGGCAUUGACCUUUCCAUAAAUAUGGUUUCUUUUGCUCUCGAACGUGCCAUUGGGCGCAAGUGCUCUGUUGAGUUUGAGGUAGCCGACUGCACCAAGAAAACUUAUCCAGAUAACACAUUUGAUGUGAUCUACA
This 263-nucleotide unclassified non-coding RNA is filed under the name Hevea brasiliensis (rubber tree). The record is from RNAcentral. Lineage: Eukaryota; Viridiplantae; Streptophyta; Magnoliopsida; Malpighiales; Euphorbiaceae.